UGCCUUAUUACUUUUUAUGGAGUAUAAGAUAUGGGGUAAACAGGACCAUGCCUAAUACAUUUCUGUUUUCCAUGACUUCCUUCAUAGUACAAAACCACAAUGCAUAAUUUUCUGGAAAAACAAAUGAAAUGACAGGAGCAGCCAGGAGUGGUAGCUCACAUCUGUAAUCCCAGAACUUUGAGAGGCCAAGGCGGGAGGAUCACUUGAACCCAGGAGUUUGAGACCAGCCUGAGCAUCAGAGCAAGACCCUAUCUUAAAAAAAUAAUAAUAAUAAAUAAAACGCAGUUAAUAAAAAGGAAAAAAACUUCAUAUGAAGUCCUAUGAUUGCACAUAACUGAAAACAAAUAUCCAACUUAUGAAAAGGAAAAGUACAACAAAAAAAAGCCCAAAACCAAAAACACAAACAAAGGAAAGCAUAACGAGGGAAUUAACCAAAAUAAAAGCUAAACUAAAAAAAUAGGAAACAAGCAAAAAUACAAGAAUUGAUUAGUAAAACCAUCCCAGGUGAUAUCAGCAGAACAAAUAGUCAAUUGACAGAAUCUUUUAAAAAAUUAUUAAUAUGCUUUAAGCCACUUAAGUUUUGAAAUACUUUAACAUCAAAAUCACCUACAAAUAUUCCUCCACUUUCAUAUGCUGAGCAAUUUCAGCUUAGAGUGACUAAGUGUUAUUUAUC
This 673-nucleotide long non-coding RNA is filed under the name Homo sapiens (human). Its description in RNAcentral is "non-protein coding lnc-ADAM21-4:1". The record is from RNAcentral. Lineage: Eukaryota; Metazoa; Chordata; Mammalia; Primates; Hominidae.